GAGUAAGGGUGCUCAGCGCCCGACCUCCAACCCUCUGUUGUUAAAACUACCUUGUUGCUUUGGCGGGACCGCUUUGGUCCGUCCGAGCCGCCGGGGCCGUCAAAAGCCCAGGCGAGUUCCCGCCAGAGUUAAACCAAACUCUUGUUAAUUAAACCGGUCGUCUGAGUUAAAUUUUUGAAUAAAUCAAAACUUUCAACAACGGAUCUCUUGGUUCU
Molecule: unclassified non-coding RNA, 215 nt
Filed under: rhizosphere metagenome
Description: partial ribosomal RNA internal transcribed spacer region
Source: RNAcentral